Molecule: ribosomal RNA, 806 nt
Filed under: uncultured microorganism
Description: bacterial SSU rRNA
Rfam family: Bacterial small subunit ribosomal RNA
Source: RNAcentral
UGGCAGUCAAGCGGCAGCGCGGGGGCAACCCUGGCGGCGAGCGGCGAACGGGUGAGUAAUACAUCGGAACAUGUCCAGUCGUGGGGGAUAACCUGGCGAAAGCCAGGCUAAUACCGCAUGAGCUCGGGAGAGGAAAGCGGGGGACCGUAAGGCCUCGCGCGAUUGGGUUGGCCGAUGUCCGAUUAGCUUGUUGGUGAGGUAAAGGCUUACCAAGGCGAUGAUCGGUAGCUGGUCUGAGAGGAUGAUCAGCCACACUGGGACUGAGACACGGCCCAGACUCCUACGGGAGGCAGCAGUGGGGAAUUUUGGACAAUGGGGGCAACCCUGAUCCAGCCAUUCCGCGUGAGUGAAGAAGGCCUUCGGGUUGUAAAGCUCUUUUGUCCGGAGCGAAGCGGUUACGGUGAAUAUCCGUGACUACUGACGGUACCGGAAGAAUAAGCACCGGCUAACUACGUGCUAGCAGCCGCGGUAAUACGUAGGGUGCGAGCGUUAAUCGGAAUUACUGGGCGUAAAGCGUGCGCAGGCGGGCUUUUAAGCCAGACGUGAAAUCCCCGGGCUUAACCUGGGAAUGGCGUUUGGGACUGGGAGUCUGGAGUGCGGCAGAGGAGACUGGAAUUCCUGGUGUAGCAGUGAAAUGCUUACAUAUCAGGAGGAACACCGAUGGCGAAGGCAGGUCUCUGGGCUGACACUGACGCUCAUGCACAAAGCGUUGGGGAGCAAACAGGAUUAGAUACCCUGGGAGUUCACACCCUAAACGAUGUCGACUGGUUGUUGGGGGGUUUGACACUCUUCAUAACUAAACUAAC